AGAGUUUGAUCCUGGCUCAGGAUGAACGCUGGCUGUGUGCCUAAUACAUGCAUGUCGAGCGAAGUUCUUCGGAACUUAGCGGCGAAUGGGUGAGUAACACGUACUCAACGUACCCUUUAGAUUGGGAUAGCGGUUGGAAACAGCCGAUAAUACCAAAUAUGCACAUUUUUCGCAUGAAAAGUGUGUGAAAGGAGCAAUUGUUCCGCUAAAGGAGCGGGGUGCGCAACAUUAGCUAGUUGGUGAGGUAACGGCCCACCAAGGCGAUGAUGUUUAGCGGGGUUGAGAGACUGAACCGCCACACUGGGACUGAGAUACGGCCCAGACUCCUACGGGAGGCAGCAGUAGGGAAUAUUCCACAAUGGACGAAAGUCUGAUGGAGCGACACAGCGUGCAGGAUGAAGGCCCCAUGGGUUGUAAACUGCUGUGGUAAGGGAAGAAAAAGCAGAAGAGUGGAACGCUUUUGCCUUGACGGUACCUUAUUAGAAAGCGACGGCUAACUAUGUGCCAGCAGCCGCGGUAAUACAUAGGUCGCAAGCGUUAUCCGGAAUUAUUGGGCGUAAAGCGUCUGUAGGUUGUUUGUUAAGUCUGACGUCAAAUUUUGGGGCUCAACCCCAAACCGCGUUGGAUACUGGCAUACUAGAGUUAUGUAGAGGUUAGCGGAAUUCCUUGUGAAGCGGUGGAAUGCGUAGAUAUAAGGAAGAACACCAAUAUGGCGAAGGCAGCUAACUGGACAUAUACUGACACUGAGAGACGAAAGCGUGGGGAGCAAACAGGAUUAGAUACCCUGGUAGUCCACGCCCUAAACGAUGAUCAUUAGCUGAUGGAAAAUUCAUCGGCGCAGCUAACGCAUUAAAUGAUCCGCCUGAGUAGUACGUUCGCAAGAAUAAAACUUAAAGGAAUUGACGGGGAUCCGCACAAGCGGUGGAGCAUGUGGUUUAAUUUGAAGAUACGCGUAGAACCUUACCCACUCUUGACAUCUUCUGCAAAGCUAUAGAGAUAUAGUGGAGGUUAACAGAAUGACAGAUGGUGCAUGGUUGUCGUCAGCUCGUGUCGUGAGAUGUACGGUUAAGUCCUGCAACGAGCGCAACCCUUGUCCUUAGUUACUAACAUUAAGUUGAGCACUCUAAGGAGACUGCCCGAGUAAUUGGGAGGAAGGUGGGGACGACGUCAAAUCAUCAUGCCUCUUACGAGUGGGGCAACACACGUGCUACAAUGGUCGGUACAAAGAGAAGCAAACUGGUGACAGGGAGCAAACCUCAAAAAACCGAUCUCAGUUCGGAUUGUAGUCUGCAACUCGACUACAUGAAGUCGGAAUCGCUAGUAAUCGUAGAUCAGCUACGCUACGGUGAAUACGUUCUCGGGUCUUGUACACACCGCCCGUCAAACCAUGGGAGCUGGUAAUGCCCGAAGUCGGUUUAUAAACAAACUGCCUAAGGCAGGACUGGUGACUGGGGUUAAGUCGUAACAAGGUAUCCCUACGAGAACGUGGGGAUGGAUCACCU
This 1502-nucleotide ribosomal RNA is filed under the name Mycoplasmopsis columbina. RNAcentral describes it as "Mycoplasma columbinum 16S ribosomal RNA". It matches the Rfam family "Bacterial small subunit ribosomal RNA". The record is from RNAcentral. Lineage: Bacteria; Bacillati; Mycoplasmatota; Mycoplasmoidales; Metamycoplasmataceae.